GCUUCUUAGGAGGUGGGGCAAAAUCCUACUCUCCCACGGAAAGCCACGCCUACCCCAGGCCCCUCCUUCGUUCCCUCCCGAGGGGUUGGCUCUGAUGACCUGGGCAGGGACUCUGCUUCGCAGACGCAGUGUCGAUCUAAUCUUGAGCGCAAGUUUCGUUUUUGGAGAUUGUCAAGGUGACACCCUCGGGGACUCCGUUUCCUUUUACAUGCCAUUCAUGAGACCCGGGCUUUACACACGAAGCACACACUCUAUACCUGAGGUGCAUUCCUUGUCCCUUUUCAAAUGUUUUCCACCUGUGAUUGGUUGAAUCCAUGGAUAUGGAGAGUCAACUGUGUUUAAUUCAGAGAAAUAAUUACACAGUGGCAUACUGGGGGCAUGGCAUAUCUGCCCUUGAAUUAAAGAGAGAGGAACAGUAGGGAAU
This 424-nucleotide long non-coding RNA is filed under the name Cricetulus griseus (Chinese hamster). Its description in RNAcentral is "lncRNA (ENSCGRG00015042633.1)". The record is from RNAcentral. Lineage: Eukaryota; Metazoa; Chordata; Mammalia; Rodentia; Cricetidae.